This 304-nucleotide ribosomal RNA is filed under the name uncultured Bradyrhizobiaceae bacterium. RNAcentral describes it as "bacterial SSU rRNA". It matches the Rfam family "Bacterial small subunit ribosomal RNA", at positions 29 to 358 of the family's 1533-position model. The record is from RNAcentral. Lineage: Bacteria; Pseudomonadati; Pseudomonadota; Alphaproteobacteria; Hyphomicrobiales; Nitrobacteraceae.
AACGAACGCUGGCUCCAGGCUUAACACAUGCAAGUCGAGCGGGCGUAGCAAUACGUCAGCGGCAGACGGGUGCGUAACGCGUGGGAACGUACCUUUUGGUUCGGAACAACACAGGGAAACUUGUGCUAAUACCGGAUAAGCCCUUACGGGGAAAGAUUUAUCGCCGAAAGAUCGGCCCGCGUCUGAUUAGCUAGUUGGUGAGGUAAUGGCUCACCAAGGCGACGAUCAGUAGCUGGUCUGAGAGGAUGAUCAGCCACAUUGGGACUGAGACACGGCCCAAACUCCUACGGGAGGCAGCAGUGGG